This 4979-nucleotide long non-coding RNA is filed under the name Homo sapiens (human). RNAcentral's name for it is "non-protein coding lnc-KANTR-23:11". The record is from RNAcentral. Lineage: Eukaryota; Metazoa; Chordata; Mammalia; Primates; Hominidae.
GUAGGCCCGUGCCCCUGCUCGCGCUGCAGCCCGUGGAAGGGUUCCGUCCAGCGUAUCCUUCAGAUCUUGCUGUAGGCCUCUGGUGUCUGUGCGCGCGCGGCAGGGGCGGCGGCGGCGACGGCCGGAGGUGUACGGUCAGCGGGUUGCGGAGGAUCGUGCGGGUCGCAAAGGGAAGCCGAGUGCUCCUGCGGCUCCCAGACUGCAACCAGGUCUGGAAGCUCCGAGUUUAUCUUGGGAACUCAAGAGGAGAGGAUCACCCAGUUCACAGGUAUUUGAGGAUACAAACCCAUUGCUGGGCUCGGCUUUAAAAGUCUUAUCUGAAAUUCCUUGUGAAACAGAGUUUCAUCAAAGCCAAUCCAAAAGGCCUAUGUAAAAAUAACCAUUCUUGCUGCACUUUAUGCAAAUAAUCAGGCCAAAUAUAAGACUACAGUUUAUUUACAAUUUGUUUUUACCAAAAAUGAGGACUAGAGAGAAAAAUGGUGCUCCAAAGCUUAUCAUACAUUUGUCAUUAAGUCCUAGUCUCAUUAAUUGUUUUCAAGCUUUUCGCCUACAUUUUAGACUAACCCUGCUUAUUCCUGUGAAUCAAGUAGUGGUCUCCUGCAGCUUGGAAGAAAAAAUAAGGGAUGGGUAAUGUAAAAAUCUGGAUCAAUAUACUGGUUCUGGGCAAUUAUCCUGCAAAUUCUGCCAGGUAAUAAAAGUGAGUAGGGUGCCCAUAAUCCGGAAGUUUCUUUGUUUAGGAAAAUAAAAACAAGGAACUUCAUAGACCCCCCCCAAAGGGGAAUUCUAUAUCUUGACAAGUAAAAUUUUAGAUGGAAAUUAUCUACAACACCACACUUACGGAAAUUGCUAUCCUCACUCUAUUAUUUGCAAAAGGGUUAUACACAGUAGCACCUUCUAACUGAAGUAUUAAACAGAGUUUCCAUUGCUGUCGUAUUUUGCUUAAUUAUUAUCCUUAUAGCAGGGAUAAUAGUUACUAACAAAAAGGAAGCAUGAAAGUUUUACUAUCACUGAGCCUGGUAGGACUUUUUAUUGGGUUUAGUGAUGCAGUUUUAAAUGAAACAUGCCGCUUUUGGAUUAAUACCUCUAGUAAAGGAAAAUUUACAGAUACUUAAAAAUCAAAUCAAAAUUAUUGAUAGGCUCAGGAAAAAUGCCAGCUUCAGCCCUGAGUGGCUACAAACCCUCUUUAAUAAAUUCCAGUCUUCUUUAUGGAAUUGGUUAACGCCUUUAUUAAGCCCUCUCUUGCUUAUAUGUCUUGUAUUGAUAUUUGGACUCUGUAUAUACAAUACUAUAACUCGAAUUGUUUCUUCUCGCCUAGAAGCAAUCAAACUCCAAAUGGUGCUGUAAACUGAACCACACAUGGACAGGCCAUUCUUCCGAGGACCCUUAGAUUGAUCCCAGGGGGAGCCCUAGCUGCUAUUCCCCAUUCAACGCCCCUUUUCAGCAGGAAGUAGCCAGAAGGAGUCGCCGCCCAAAAUCCCCUAACAGCAGUUAGUGUGGCAUCUCCACAGGAAGUAAUGUUGUAGGAGUUACUAAGAAAUUAUUUUAGGCAGAUAGAGAGGAAAAGGGGUCCUUGGGAAGUUUUCAUUUUUUAAAGCAUCUCUGGAAAAGUUUCUUGUAAAGCCCCGGCUCUUAGAGCCAGGCUGGCAACCUUUGAUAUGCAAAUGUAAGCCAUUAGAAACCAGGUCCACCCAGGCCAGGUGUGGUGGCUCACGCCUGUAAUCCCAACACUUUGGGAAGCCUAGGCAGGUGGAUCACCUGAGGUCAGGAGUUCGAGACCAGCCUGGCCAACAUGGUGAAACCCCGCCUCUAAUAAAAACACAAAAAACUAGCCAGGUGUGCUGCUGUGUGUCUGUAAUUCCAGCUACUUGGGAGGCUGAGGCAGGAGAACUGCUUGAACCCAGGAGGCAGAGGUUGCAGUGAGCUGAGAUUGCAUCAUUGCACUCCAGCCUGGGCGACAGCAAGACUCUGUAAAAAAAAAAAAAAAAAAAAAAAAAAACAGCCAGGCGUGGUAGCACGCCUGUAGUCCCAGCUACUUGGGAGGCUGAGAUGGGAGGAUCACCCUCGACUGGGGAAGUUGAGGCUGCAGUGAGCUGAAAUCGCACCACUGCACUCCAGCCUGGGUGACAGACUGAGACCCUGUCAAAUAAAUAAUGUAUGUAUGUAUAUAUGUAUGUAUGUAUGUUAACCUCAUCCCAAAACAUCCUCACAGAACAUCCAGAAUAAUGUUUGACCAAAUAUCUGGGCACCAAUGGCACAUUCAAGUUGACACAUAAAAUUAACCCUCACAAUACCGUACUGUACAACUUUUGGAGUGAAGCUGGAAUGUCAUCGCAUUUCCAAGACUAACUCAGUGUCCACAAAUGAUGCUUAAGUCAUGAGGAUCAUCUCGGAUUUGGAUUUGGAUGCCUGUCAAGCCCUCACUCUUCAGACUAAAUGUCUGAUUUGCAUGGAGAAUUAUCAAGAGAAGCAACAAUGCCAAGCAGACUAUUCCAGGUCAAAAUAGUCAAAUUAAUAAUUCAUAAAUUAUUAUAUGUUUUGAAGGUAUUGCAAAAUUAAAGUUGCAAGAACAGUACAGAUAACUUUUUUCCUGAACCAUUUGAGAGUAGGUUGCAGACCUGGUGCCCCAUCAUUUCUGAAUAUUUUAGUGUGCAUUUUCUACAAACAAGGACAUUUUCCAGCAUAACCACAAUGCACCCAUCAAUGUCGUGAAAUUAAUGUUGGUACAUUACUACCACCUAGUCCUCAGACCCUAUUCAAAUUAUACCAGUUAUCAUAAUAGUUUCUUAUAAUUUAUAGCAAAAUGAUCCAAACCAGGAGCAUGCAUUGCAUUUUUAUGAAUUUUUAAAACAAUUAAGUCUGUGUAGUGAGUGAAGCCACAGUGAUAGGAAUAUAUAAAGGCUUUGCAUCUAGAAUUUGUUCUGAAAACCCUGAGAUUCAAGUAGUACAUUAUUUCAUUUACUAUUUUACACAGAGAAGCCCUCAUUUUUAAGAGUUUGCCUUUCUGAUUUCCACCGGAAAUGAUACUAUCAGUAUCAUACUCAGAAUCUUAAUUACAUACAAGGCACUAACCUCUCACCUGUUUUCAGCUUUGUGUAAAGACAAGGGAUCAAAACAUCCCUUUCUGCUAUUUCAUACUUAAGUGUGGGAGCUGAUCCAAAGGAAGAAUAGUUUCAAAAGUUUGUAGCAAAAAAAAUUUAAAAGGUGAAGAUUUUUUCCUUGAAUGAUUCUCACCUGGCAGAUCUAUGGAAAGAUUAGCUGACUCUUUGGAUCCCUGAAUAUAGUUAAUAGAAAUUUGGAAGGACCAUGUCAAAAUUAACUAAUGUGAACUGACAAAGAUUUGGUGUUCAAAGCAAAAAUUAAACUUUGGAAAAGUGAGCAAGUACUUAAUCAGAAACAAAAAAAAAAAAAAGAAAGGAAAAGUUAGGUGAAAAUGGUUUCCAGGUGUUGUUGCUGUUAUAGUUUGAAUCAUAAAAGUUGUUAAAAGUCUGCUGUAACAAACCAUCAUAGACUGGGUGACUUAUAAAGAACAAAAAUGUAUUUCUCACAGUUCCAGAGGCUGGGAAGUCUAAGAUCAAGGCAUCAGCAGAUUCAGUGUCUGGUGAGGGCCCACUUUCUGGUUCAUAGAUGGCACCUUCUCACUGUCUCCCCACGUGAUGGAAGGGGCAAGAGGUCUCUCUUGGUACUCUUUUAUUAAGGGCACUAAUCCCAUCCAUGGGGCUCCACCUUCAUGACCUAUUCAUCUCCCAGAGGCCCUACCUGCAGAUACCAUCGUAUGGGGGAUUUGAUUUCAGCCUGUGAAUUUGGGGGAAGCGGGACAAACAUUCGUUUUGUAGCAAAAGGAGUAGAGUAAUAUCUGCCAAUAACUGGAGGAAAGAAUUGUUCUUUUAAAACUAUUAAAUUGUUUAAUGGGAUUUAAAUGAUUUCAGGAAUGAAAUGGAAAUCCUGGUAAUGGGUAGAAACAUAGGUAAAUUCUCCUUUUCCACUUACCACCACCUGUGUGAACAACAAUCAUUUCUCAUUAAUAGUCAAGAAUUUGAAGAGAUCAUGAGUAAAAAGUCUUGAUCAGAAAUUGUGUAUAGCUGUUUCCAGCAUAAAACCUUAUAUAAAAUGCAUAUUCAUAGAAGAUGCUCAAGUAUGUCAUGAAAAAUAUGAAGUUUAUUUAAAUAUUUAUACAAAUUAAAGAUUUACUGUAUUCUCUAACAGCGCGUAUUUUCUUUUUUGUAAUAACUAUAUGAAAUAAAUACAAAGUAACACGUUUUUACCAAGCCCCCUUCCCAUCCUUCUCAUCACCCUCAAACUCCCUCCAAAUAGAGUCAGAGAAACAGCCAGAGGGAUGUCUCCACUGAGACACAGGGAGGUCUUGCACCCAGGCAGUUCAGCAGUUCCUGGGCGGGUGGCCCUUCCCAUCUGAGUACCCCUCAAUGUGCCUGCUCCUCCUGGGAUCCUUUCUGCUCCCUUGGGCCUCUGUUUUUGGUCUGCAAUGGUUGGUUAUGUAGAGGGAUCAGUAUUGGGGUUGUCCCAAGCCAGGCUACAGGUUGAGCAGGUAGCCACAUAGGCCACAUAGCAGGACGGGCCCAGCUGGGGACUCUGAUGUCUGCAAUUAGGGGUGGCAGGAAGUAAUGGAUGCACAGGCGCUGACUUGGCCUGGCCUUAAGCCUUAGUCUAGCGGAAAGGUCUGGCUGUUUACCUGCCUUCCUAUUUGGAGCUGAUCCCAGGACCAAACGGGAUGCCAUCGUACCAAGGGCAGGGAGAUGAAGGGAGGCCCUCAGAAGAGAAUGAGGCCUAAAUGCCAGGUAAAGGGCAGGAAGGGGUUCAAUCCCAGCAGCACCUCCUGGUGGUAGUUGGGGAAAUAAAAUGGCCAGAGAGGAGACUGGCCCUGAAGGCAUCUCCAGAGCUUGAGUCCCUCAGUAGCCAACCUGAGCUCCUAAACCCCUCUGGACUAGGUCCCCUUCUCCACUUAACCUGCCUCCUCAAGAAAG